Molecule: ribosomal RNA, 253 nt
Filed under: uncultured bacterium
Lineage: Bacteria
Description: partial 16S ribosomal RNA
Rfam family: Bacterial small subunit ribosomal RNA
Source: RNAcentral
UACGUAGGGUGCGAGCGUUAAUCGGAAUUACUGGGCGUAAAGCGUGCGCAGGCGGUUUUGUAAGCCAGAUGUGAAAUCCCCGGGCUUAACCUGGGAAUGGCAUUUGGGACUGCAAGGCUGGAGUACGGCAGAGGAGACUGGAAUUCCUGGUGUAGCAGUGAAAUGCGUAGAGAUCCGGAGGAACACCGACGGCGCAGGCAGCGUCCUGGCCGCUUGCUGACACUGAGGCACGAAAGCUGGGGGAGCAAACAGG